Suricata suricatta (meerkat) is the source of this 355-nucleotide long non-coding RNA. RefSeq lists it as uncharacterized. The record is from RefSeq and is a predicted model, not a curated record. Lineage: Eukaryota; Metazoa; Chordata; Mammalia; Carnivora; Herpestidae. The transcript has 3 exons.
CUGAUGAUGAGGUUCCAAUUCAGAUUUAUUUAGAUUAAAAGCAAAGCUGUUUCUCUGGUAGAGGGAGCUGAUGACAUUCAAAUUCCUGGAACUACCCUGGGCACCACCUUUCCCUCCUCUGCUCACCUUCCUAAAGCAACCUGAUGGCAUGCAGACAUUCAGCACCCGGAGAAGAUGCCAGGACCGUUCGGGAUGCGGUGCUGGUAAUCACCACAGCACAAUGAACGAGAAACCAACUUUUAUUCUGUCUCGGCGAAAUUUGGUCAUUCCGUGCAAUGGGUACCUGGCCUCCUGUCUUUGGUCUGUUUAGGGAAGAGACUGGUUCCUUUCAAGCAAUGACGAAAUCCUAAUAAAG